Molecule: long non-coding RNA, 396 nt
Organism: Manis javanica (Malayan pangolin)
Lineage: Eukaryota; Metazoa; Chordata; Mammalia; Pholidota; Manidae
Source: RefSeq, a predicted model, not a curated record
CCGGGUAGUGAUUAUUCAUUUGGGCAGAUGGUCAGGGACUUGGGGAGAACACCAUCAGAAAAUUGGUGAAAAGAAUUUUUGAAGAAAAGCUGCUGGUGUGAUUACGAAGAAGCCCAGCAAAUGGAAAUUAACAAGGGUCAACACACUCACUUGCUACAUCAGAGAAGCAGAAGGAAGCAAAUGAAUAAAUAACACUGAUUUAUCAACAACCAAAGAUCUGGGAAGAUAACACAAAUAUGUCAUGGAAAAAUGAAAAACCCUGGGGUGAAGGAUUUGAAUUGGAGAUGGUCCUGAGAACAUGUCUGUGGACUUCUGAACCUUCAGAGAAGAAAUAGCAUCUGAAAGCUAGAAAUAUCACAGAAAAAGAUCAACUAAAUUAUUCUGUAUCAUGUAAGA